GUGCCAGCAGCCGCGGUAAUACCGGCAGCCCGAGUGAUGGCCGAUCUUAUUGGGCCUAAAGCGUCCGUAGCCGGCCACACAAGUCCAUCGGGAAAUCCGCCAGCCUAACUGGCGGGCGUCCGGUGGAAACUGUGUGGCUUGGGACCGGAAGACCCAACAGGUACGUCUUGGGUAGGAGUGAAAUCCCGUGAUCCUGGACGGACCACCGAUAGCGAAAGCAUGUUGGGAAGACGGAUCCGACGGUGAGGGACGAAAGCCAGGGUCUCGAACCGGAUUAGAAACCCCUGUAGUCC
RNAcentral lists this ribosomal RNA (293 nucleotides) under uncultured bacterium. Its description in RNAcentral is "partial 16S ribosomal RNA". It matches the Rfam family "Archaeal small subunit ribosomal RNA", at positions 455 to 747 of the family's 1478-position model. The record is from RNAcentral.